GGAGUCUAGCAUGUGCGCGAGUCAUUGGGACCGCAAAGCGAAACCUAAAGGCGAAAUGAAAGUGAAAGCGGACCUCGCGUCCGCCUAGGGAGGAUGGGUCGUCGCUACGUCGCGGCCUCGCACUCCCGGGGCGUCUCGUUCUCAGUCGCGCUCGUCGCGUUCUCGAGAUGAGGCGCACCCAGAGCGUACACGCUGGGACCCGAAAGAUGGUGAACUAUGCCUGGUCAGGACGAAGUCAGGGGAAACCCUGAUGGAGGUCCGUAGCGAUUCUGACGUGCAAAUCGAUCGUAAGAACUGGGUAUAGGGGCGAAAGACUAAUCGAACCAUCUAGUAGCUGGUUCCCUCCGAAGUUUCCCUCAGGAUAGCUGGCGCUCAUUGAAGUGCUAGAAAUAGUUAAGAGAGCGAGUCUCAUCCGGUAAAGCGAAUGAUUAGAGGCAUUGGGGUCGAAACGGCCUCAACCUAUUCUCAAACUUUAAAUGGGUGAGAUCUCCGGCUUGCUUGAAACGUGAAGCCGCGAGAUCGGAUCAGAGUGCCAAGUGGGCCAUUUUUGGUAAGCAGAACUGGCGCUGUGGGAUGAACCAAACGUCGAGUUAAAGCGCCUAAAUCGACGCUUAUGGGAUACCAUGAAAGGCGUUGGUAACUUAAGACAGCAGGACGGUGGCCAUGGAA
This 669-nucleotide ribosomal RNA is filed under the name Eucnemidae sp. UPOL 001226. RNAcentral describes it as "eukaryotic LSU rRNA". It matches the Rfam family "Eukaryotic large subunit ribosomal RNA", at positions 670 to 1259 of the family's 3401-position model. The record is from RNAcentral. Lineage: Eukaryota; Metazoa; Arthropoda; Insecta; Coleoptera; Eucnemidae.